RNAcentral lists this ribosomal RNA (481 nucleotides) under uncultured bacterium. RNAcentral's name for it is "partial 16S ribosomal RNA". It matches the Rfam family "Bacterial small subunit ribosomal RNA", at positions 28 to 507 of the family's 1533-position model. The record is from RNAcentral.
GAUGAACGCUGGCGGCGUGCUUAACACAUGCAAGUCGAACGAAGCAUUUGCGACAGAUUUUUUCGGAAUGAAGUUGCUUAUGACUGAGUGGCGGACGGGUGAGUAACUCGUGGGUAACCUGCCUUGUACUGGGGGAUAGCAGCUGGAAACGGCUGGUAAUACCGCAUAAGCGCACAAUGUUGCAUGACAUGGUGUGAAAAACUCCGGUGGUAUAAGAUGGACCCGCGUCUGAUUAGCUAGUUGGUGAGAUAACAGCCCACCAAGGCGACGAUCAGUAGCCGACAUGAGAGGGUGACCGGCCAGAGUGGGACUGAGGCACGGCCCAGACUCCUACGGGAGGCAGCAGUAGGGAAUAUUGAACAAUGGAGGAAACUCUGAUGAAGCGACGCCGCGUGAGUGAAGAAGUAAUUCGUUAUGUAAAGCUCUAUCAGAAGGGAAGAUAGUGACGGUACCUGACUAAGAAGCUCCGGCUAAAUACGUG